ACGGGUGAGAAACGCGUAGGUAACCUGCCUGGUAGCGGGGGAUAACUAUUGGAAACGAUAGCUAAUACCGCAUAAUAGUAGAUAUCGCAUGAUAACUACUUAAAAGGUGCAAUUGCGUCACUACCAUAUGGACCUGCGUUGUAUUAUCUACUUGGUGAGGUAACGGCUCACCACGGCAGCGAUACUUAGCCGACCUGAUAGGGUGAUCGGCCACACUGGGACUGAUACACGGCCCACACUCCUACGGGAGGCAGCAGUAGGGAAUCUUCUGCAAUGGAGGGAAGUCUGACCGAGCAACGCCGCCUGAGUGAAGAAGGUUUUCGGAUCGUAAAGCUCUGUUGUUGUAAAAGAACAAUGGUGAGAGUGGAAAGUUCCCACUGUGACGGUAUCUUACCCCAAAGGGACGGCUAACUACAUGCCAGCACCCGCGGUAAUACAUAUGUCCCGAGCGUUGUCCGGAUUUAUUGGGCGUAAAGCGAGCGCACGCGGGUAUAUAAAUCUGAAAUUAAAGGCUGUGGCUUACCCAUAGUACGCUUUGUAGACUGUUUAACUUGAGUGCAAGAGGGGAGAGUGGAAUUCCUUGUGUAGCGGUGAAAUGCUGAGAUAUAUGGAGGAACACCGGUGGCGAAAGCGGCUCUCUGUCGUGCAGCUGAUGCUG
RNAcentral lists this ribosomal RNA (658 nucleotides) under uncultured bacterium. RNAcentral describes it as "bacterial SSU rRNA". It matches the Rfam family "Bacterial small subunit ribosomal RNA", at positions 102 to 748 of the family's 1533-position model. The record is from RNAcentral.